RNAcentral lists this ribosomal RNA (253 nucleotides) under uncultured bacterium. RNAcentral's name for it is "partial 16S ribosomal RNA". It matches the Rfam family "Bacterial small subunit ribosomal RNA", at positions 524 to 776 of the family's 1533-position model. The record is from RNAcentral.
UACGUAGGGUGCGAGCGUUAAUCGGAAUUACUGGGCGUAAAGCGUGCGCAGGCGGUUGUGCAAGACCGAUGUGAAAUCCCCGGGCUUAACCUGGGAAUGGCAUUGGUGACUGCACGGCUAGAGUGUGUCAGAGGGGGGUAGAAUUCCACGUGUAGCAGUGAAAUGCGUAGAGAUGUGGAGGAAUACCGAUGGCGAAGGCAGCCCCCUGGGAUAACACUGACGCUCAUGCACGAAAGCGUGGGGAGUAAACAGG